RNAcentral lists this ribosomal RNA (1116 nucleotides) under uncultured organism. RNAcentral's name for it is "bacterial SSU rRNA". It matches the Rfam family "Bacterial small subunit ribosomal RNA", at positions 199 to 1345 of the family's 1533-position model. The record is from RNAcentral.
GAGUAAAGCUCCGGCGCUUCGGGAGAGGCCUGCGGCCCAUCAGCUAGUUGGUAGGGUAACGGCCUACCAAGGCAGAGACGGGUAGGGGGCGUGAGAGCGCGGACCCCCACACUGGCACUGCGACACGGGCCAGACUCCUACGGGAGGCAGCAGUAAGGAAUAUUGCGCAAUGGACGAAAGUCAGACGCAGCGACGCCGCGUGGGCGAUGAAGGCCUUCGGGUUGUAAAGCCCUUUUAUGGGGGAAGAGAAAAAGGACGGUACCCCAUGAAUAAGUCCCGGCUAACUACGUGCCAGCAGCCGCGGUAAAACGUAGGGGACAAGCGUUAUCCGGAUUCACUGGGCGUAAAGAGCGUUGAGGCGGUUCCGUAAGUUGGGCGUGAAAGCUCCGGGCUUAACCCGGAGAUGUCGUUCAAUACUGCGGGGCUUGAGGACAGCAGAGGAAGGUGGAAUUCCCGGUGUAGUGGUGAAAUGCGUAGAUAUCGGGAGGAACACCCGUGGCGAAGGCGGCCUUCUGGGCUGUUCCUGACGCUGAAGGCGAAAGCUAGGGGAGCGAACGGGAUUAGAUACCCCGGUAGUCCUAGCUGUAAACGAUGGAUGCUGGGUGUGGGGGGUGUAAAUUCCCUCUGUGCCGAAGCAAACGCGUUAAGCAUCCCGCCUGGGGACUACGGCCGCAAGGCUAAAACUCAAACGAAUUGACGGGGGCCCGCACAAGCAGCGGAGCGUGUGGUUUAUUUCGAUGCCUACACGAGGAACUCUUACCUGGGUUUGACCUGCCCGUGGUAGGGGAACCCGAAGGGGACCGACCUUCGGGAGCGUGCACCGGUCCUGCUUGGCUGUCGUCAGCUCGUUCCGUGAGUUGUCGGGUUAAGUUCUGUAACUGAGCGCAACCAUUGCCCUUAGUUACAAGUGUCUAAGGGGACUGCCCGGGACAACUGGGAGUAAGGUGGGGAUGAUGUCAAGUCAGCAUGGCCUUUAUAUCCAGGGCUACACACACGCUACUAUGGCCAGUACAAUAGGUAGCCAAGUCGUGAGACGGAGCCAAUCCUUAAAGCUGGUCUCAGUUCGAAUUGCAGUCUGCAACUCGACUGCAUGAAGCUGGAGUUGCUAGUAAUCGC